AAAGUACAACUAAAACUAAAAUGAAAACUAUAAUAAAAAAAACUACAAUAAAAUAAAUAAAUAAAUACCUAAAUAAACCCAAUUACCAAAGAUUUGUGCUUUAAAUGUGGCAAUGCAAUGAAGCUUGUAAUGUGUGAAUCAGACACUAUUACUACUUAGUACUAAUACUACAGCAUCACUGAUAACAACAACCUCAAAACACACGUUCAGUGCAGCUGUUUGAAUGGGAACACAAUUUCCAUUGCAAAAUCAAUAAUGAAGAUGCAGUUAUGAUCCUGACUCACUGAUGCAUUAGUGCCGUUGUUCCAGGCGCAGCACGAACAAAGAGGAAGUUCCCAGCGGCACCAGCUGACAAUCACCAUUAAAUGAAAGGCCACAUUAAACGAAUGGAGUGCAACGCACCUCCACAAAGUAGUUAACAGCACCAGCCAACUUUGAAACGCUGAUGCUUCACUUGGCACCGUGUGCUGCUCGCUUCAGUUUGCUUUGGACGCUCUCAAAGGGCUCUUCACAAAGGGCUCUUAUUGAAAGUGUCGGCACCCAGCCAGCGGCCCGACAGAACGCCACGUUUAACAAGGGACGUAAAUAAUAAUAAUGCACCAUCCUAUGACAGAUGAGAACACGUGUGGAAUAUCAAUGUGUUUCUAAAGGAUCUCGGCGAUUUGCAUUGGGAUUGGACCUCCGAGCAGCACACGGCUCUGGGAAUAAUGUGGGAUUUAGAGGAAAAGCAAACAAUCCAGGAACAUUUCAAGCCCAGCUUCUGAAUAUGAGACACUUUUAUGGACCUUCUGCCGGCUAAUUUACUGCGGGAGGUUUGUUAGCGGCUCUGUUUCUGCACUUCAUUAAACCGCGCUGUAUGCUCCAUCCGCACUCCAGGAUCCGCUCCAUAUUACAGCAAAUGGAAAUUUGUCACGAGCGGCGAGACGGAAAUCACAGGAACUGAGAGAUGUGAGGCUCGCCCGGAAAAACGUAGGAAUGGAAGACGCUGUGUGAGAAGCGAUGCGUCUAUUAAACAGGUUCCUGCAUCCCUGCACAUAAUAAAAUGCUUUAUUAAAACCA
Long non-coding RNA from Cyprinus carpio (common carp), 1059 nucleotides. The record is from Ensembl. Lineage: Eukaryota; Metazoa; Chordata; Actinopteri; Cypriniformes; Cyprinidae.